Unclassified non-coding RNA from Castor canadensis (American beaver), 314 nucleotides. Its record names the gene 7SK. It matches the Rfam family "7SK RNA". From Rfam's summary of the family: 7SK was discovered as an abundant small nuclear RNA in the mid-70s but a possible function has only recently been suggested. The record is from Ensembl. Lineage: Eukaryota; Metazoa; Chordata; Mammalia; Rodentia; Castoridae.
GGAUGUGAGGGUGAUCUGGCUGCGACAUCUGUCACCCCAUUGAUCGGCAGGGUUGAGUCAGCUGAUCUGGCUGGCCAGGCGGGUGUCCCCUUCCUCCCUCACCACUCCAUGUGUGUCCCACCUGAAGCUGUGCGCUCGGUCAAAGAGCACAACCAUCCCGGAUAGAGGAGGACCGUUCUUCGGUCAAGGGUAUGCGAGUAGCUGCGCUCCCCUGCUAGAACCUCCAAACAAGCUCUCAAGGUAGAGACAUCAGAGUAAGAGCAUAUUUCUCAAUAGAAAUCAUAAAAGCAAGGAGGGGAUGGAAUGACGCACUU